Molecule: RNA transcript, 7236 nt
Organism: Scatophagus argus
Lineage: Eukaryota; Metazoa; Chordata; Actinopteri; Scatophagidae
Gene: irs4b
Gene name: insulin receptor substrate 2-B
Exons: 3
Source: RefSeq, a predicted model, not a curated record
GUUUGGUCGGUGACGCAGAGGGUCAUGUGUUGUUUGUGCUCUGGCCCGUAGAGAUGUGUACAGAGAAGGGAACGGAUUGCUAACCGAGCUAGCCGGAUCCUCCCGAUUACAGAAACACUGCUGAACGUGGUCAUGUUGCACACGGCAGGCUUCAUUUCGUGAAAAAGCCCGCAUUGGAAUACCCGCCUCGCUGCUAGAAGGGCAAAGGGACUUGUUUUUUGACGGAAUAACAGAGCCGGUCCUUGAGGAUUGCAAAUCUGAGCCGUGCGAGUCAACGUUAGCUGGCCUAGCCGGACUCAGGAGCUCGUCUCCCAAAACAAGAAUGGGGUCUAGGUCCACUCGGAUUAGCUUGCUAGUAAAGUGACCUUUGAUUGUGUUUUCUGAUGGCAAAUUUCACGAAUUACCAGGAAGGCAAGGCAGCGAUGUUGAUGGUGGAGACGCAGCAGAGGGACGUGGGGACGAAAUCUGCGGCCACCGCCGCAAACGGAGACGGCUCGGUCGGGGAACCCCCUUCCCCGUUAAUUAAUAUCGGCGGCGGAGGAGGAGGCGGCUCUCGUUUCCAUCAGCAUUUACCGCCCUCCAACCACCUCCACCAUCAACACCUCAGCCACCAAUACCCGCCAAAGGAUCAACAGCAGCACCAUCACUACCAGCUGGCCCCGCAGCAACAGCAGCAGCAGCAGCAGCAUCUUUCCGGAGACAACAUCGCAGAGUCCCCGGGCAGGAAAGCCUCCUCUUCGUCUCUCAGCCAGGUACAUGCCGCCGAGGACCCCGCCGCUUCCUCCUCCGCUAGCCGCAGCAGCAGCAGCAGCAGCAGCCAUGUAUACGCGGCUGUGAACGUCGCAAAUACCUCGGACGCUGUGGAUGAUAUUCGAAAAUGUGGCUAUUUAAGAAAGCAAAAACAUGGACACAAGCGGUUUUUCGUGCUUCGCGCUGCCAGCCACCUCGGUCCGAGCCGCCUGGAGUACUACGACAGCGAGAAAAAAUUCAGGAACAGCCUGCGCUCUGCUGCCGCGGCCGCCGCAAGCGGUGGAGCGGUCGCCCCUUCUCCCCCUAAAAGGGUUAUUUACCUCUAUCAGUGCUUCACGGUAAACAAAAGGGCUGAUUCUAAAAACAAACACCUCAUUGCCCUUUACACUAAGGACGAGUACUUUGCUAUUGUGGCUGAAAACGAGCAGGAGCAAGAAGACUGGUACGUAGCUGUCAGUGAGUUGAUGAGUGAGGGCAAAAAAGGGCACUUGGAUUCUGAUGAUUUAGAUGAUGGAUAUGGUACAGUCACCCCUGGUACUGUGUUUAAAGAGGUGUGGCAGGUGAAUGUGAAACCUAAAGGACUCGGUCAAACUAAAAACCUCACAGGUGUUUACCGGCUAUGCCUCUCAACUAAAACCAUUCACCUCGUUAAGUUGAACUCUGAAACUCCCUGUGUUAACCUUCAGUUGAUGAACAUCAGGCGCUGUGGACAUUCAGAAAGCUUCUUUUUCAUUGAGGUGGGCCGCUCCUCCUCCAUCGGGCCUGGGGAGAUAUGGAUGCAAGUGGAUGAUUCUGUUGUGGCCCAAAACAUGCAUGAGACCAUCUUGGAGACAAUGAAAGCGCUGAAAGCUUUUGCAGAGUUUCGGCCCAGGAGUAAGAGUCAGUCAUCAGGCUCCAAUCCCAUGCCGUUUAUCACAACGCGGCGUCACCUGGGCAACCUGCCACCGAGCCAGACAGGACUGCAGCGGCGGUCGAGGACAGAGUCGGUCGUUGGCACGCCGCCGUCAAGCAAGAGCUCUGGGGCUAGCGGUUAUCGCUUCCGAACAUCCAGUGAGGGUGAGGGGACGAUGAACCGGCCGUUCCGCUCCGCUACAGGAAGUCUGGUUCACCUUAACUCUGCACGUGCCCAUCAUGGCCGCCAGGAAGGGGAUGCCAACAGCAGUGGGAGUGGCGCCGCCACAGGAAAUGUUGGCACGAGCACCAGCAGUGGACGCUAUGUCAGAGCCAUCCCAGGGUCGUCAUCCACCUACCAUGCUCGCUCCGCCUCGCUGCCUGUCUCUCACUUCCCCUCCACCACCAGUCCAGUCAGCGUCUCCUCCAGCAGUGGCCAUGGCUCAGUAUCAGACACUCUCACCCGCCCAUCAAGCGCCUCGAUAUGUGGCUCGCCAUCUGACGGCGGCUUCAACUCUUCAGAUGAGUAUGGCUCUAGUCCUGGUGACUUCAGAUACUUCCGGGUGCGGAGUAACACACCAGACUCCCUGGGCAACACCCCACCAAUCAGAGAAGAGAACUGUCUAAAUGAUUACAUGGCCAUGGGCUGGAACCGGGAGGUUUUCGGCACCAGCGGGGGCUCCGGAAACAACAGUGGAGGUGACACGCCACGGGACGAGAGCACAUCAACGACUGAAGAUGAACGCUUGUCUUUGUCAUCAUCAUCAUCACUGAGGAGGAGGACUCAGUCUUUCUCCAGACCAGCUGGUGGUGCAACUGGCGGUUCUGGAGUGGCAGUUUACCAGAAAAUGACCCAGACCAACUUCUCAUUGGAUGAGGGCUCAGAUGUUGUGUUACCAUUUGGCAGCGGGCUGCUCCGUGGCGGGCCUUCCUCUUCCUCUUCCUCCCUUCGCUCUGACUACAGCUCUUGCUCCGAGCACAGCCAGCAGAGUCGUCCCUCCACACUCUCCCGAACAGAGGCCAGUGGUGAGCGCCCGCCCCUUUCCUCCUCCUCCUCUGCCAAGGAAGACAGCGGCUACAUGCCUAUGAUGUGUGGCGUGGCUGCAUCGCCACGGGACACGCCCACUGACUACAUGCCUAUGCAACCCAGUUCUUACUCCCAUCAAACAUCCCAUUCUCCUCAGUUUCACAGUCCAGCUUUAGGUCCCCGUUCUGCCCACCACCAAUCCCAGCUUCAGUCCCAAUCCUCUACAGACUCCCACGGCUACAUGAUGAUGCUCCCAGGGGGCAGUGGAAGCUCCCCUUCUCCAGGACAGGCCUCUCCCAGCCCUCACAGUAGCUCAAGCAUGGCAGGUGCCAGUGGAAGUGACAGCAUAGCAGAGAGACCAGAAAAUGGAGAAUAUAUGGACAUGUCAUACAGUGGUAGUGGGGGGCGCAAGCUCUCAAAUGAAGGGAGCAGUGUGUAUUACACACCUUGCACACCUGAAGGCACCCCAAAGACUUACAGCCCUUAUUUCUCCCUCCCUCGUUCCUUCAAGGCCCCCACUAGAGAGCGGGACGAGAAGGAAUAUGGGGAAUAUGUUCCGAUGAGUUCUCCUGCCAAGCCAGUAUAUUCAUCAGUUGCCACAGCUUCCAUAUCAACACCAGAGAAGAGGGGUGGGGCAGGUAGCAGCACCUCCACUCCCUCUCACCCACCCCCGCCUUACGGAGCUCACCACACGACUGCAGCGAUGGCCGACCGGCGUGUUGUGAGGCCCAACCGCCUUCCUUUAGGCAGAAGAAGUUUCCAUGGUCCGCUGCGGGUUAGUGAGCCCUCCACAGCGUCUGCAGGCACCUCCACCUCAGUCCCUGCCUCUGUCAGCUCUUCUGAAGGCCCUUCCAGUCCCGGAGAGUAUAUUAAUAUUGAGUUUGGAGAUCACUACCCCCACCAACAACAGCCCCCCGCCUAUCCUCUCUCUGCCCAAGACGAACCACCUUCCCUGGCAUCCAGUGACCACCAUCGCUCCCCUCCCCAGCCCCAAACUCAACAGGACUAUAUGAGUGUGGAGGUAGGAGCCGAGCAGCAGGACAGCGCUGGAUGUCUGGGUAAAAGCCAGUCUCCCAGACCCAGCCUUGUCGCUCCCUGGAACCCACCUAGCUAUAUCCGACCCCUGGCUAGCAAUCCUGGGGCGCUGGCCUCCCCUGGAGUCCCGGCUGGAGGUCACUGGAUGUCAAUGGGGGAUGACUACACGGACAUGACCUUUAACCUCAGUAGAGGUGAGAGGACGCAAACAAGCCCCUCAGCCAUGCUGCAGCAUCUCUGUGUGAUAGAGGGACGUUACAGCCAUGCUCCCUCCGCCUCGGCCUCAUCCAUUUCUCCUCCUCUCCCUCCGUCGAGCCCAGGCAGGGCGCCGACACACCAGGUGGAACCCAAGGUGGUUCGGGCCGACCCCCAAGGCAGGAGGAGACACAGCUCUGAGACAUUCUCCUCCACUUCCUCCUCUAAUUCGACACCCUCUGGAGGAGGACUGGGCUCCUCAACCUCAGCCGCCCACCCCACACUGGUCAACCCCGUGGCCCCCAACGGGUCUUUCCUAACAGAGGGUCAAGCUUCAAGAUGGGCCAGUUCAGCAUCUUUUGACAGUGUGUGGGUGUCCAUGGAGGGUCUUGGGGACUCACCAGCUCACCAUCCUCCGGUAAGAUCCACAGAAAUGGGCACGACCUCCGGGACGUCAGCAUCCUCUUCCUCCUCUUCCUCCUCGGGGGCAGGGGCAGGUAGAAUGUGCAGGAACAUGUCUGUGGGCUACCAGAAUGGCCUGAAUUAUAUUGCCUUGGAGCUGAGAGAGGACGGGAGUAACAUGGGAGCCGUGAUGUCGGGAGCUGGUAGCAGCAGUGGGAGCUCGGCGGCAGCGGGGACGGUGCCUCUGCUGGAGAACGGAGCCUAUGCCAGUAUAGACUUCACCAAAUCUGAUGGAGUCACCACCACAACCAAGGACUGAGCGACGGGACGAUCGAGGUUCGCCACCCUCCUCCUCCUCCUCCUCCUCAUCUCUGUGCUGGGGACACUUGACUCUGCCUGUGACCUUUGGCCUCCACCUCCCCUCCCCUCACCCCCCUGCUGCUGCUGCUGCCGGUGACCUCCUCACCCAGACUGAGAAGCCGCUCCCUUCUGGAUGCAGAAGACAACAUCACAGCAGAUGACAAAAAAACGCUUGCAAUUUAUUUUUAUUGUUAAAUGUAUUUCAUCUUUUUUUAUUUUUUUGUGUGUGUUUUAUAUGCAUAUUUUGUCACUUCCUCCCCCUCUCUCACACUUGAUGCUGCCAGUGUGUGCUGCUUUGUCCCCCCCGUCCCCUCAUGUUCAGCAGAUAGCAGUCAGUGAACGUUGAGGGGAUCUACAGAACCCUUCGUAGUCUUAUGGUUCUGCUUCUACUAAUUGAGUACGAAGAAAAGGCAUUAUGGUACAGACUUUUAUGUUAACAUAAUAAUAUUAAUUUUUAUCUUUUAUUCUUUUUUUUUUCUUUUUUUUUACCCCAUGCAUAAUCCAUCCUCAAUACAGUACGAUACAGUUAUUACAUUGCGGACAAAGUUGUAGUUGAAAAUGCUUUUUGUUUUGUUUUGGUUUUUUUUAAACAGAUUAUCCCUUAAAUGGUACGAACUCGUGGCCUGAUCCAUUUUAGCCACAGAGUGGACGAGCGGCAUUGCACGAGUACUGUGUUUGUUCUCACACUUUCCCCAGUCAGAUAUGUGGAGUUUUACUGCACCGAGGCAGUUCAGACUGUGCCUUCGUCAGCGUCCGAGGUGUUCAUCACUCACGGCUAACCCACUAAUCAGCGGUACGACACUUUCUCAUCAACUUUCUUUCAACUGAUAAGGUGCUUUAAGAAAAUUUCAGCCUCUCCCUCCGUCCCGUCUCCAUCACCUUAGGAUAUAAGAGAUAAAUAAGCAAUCGUUUCCUGUCUGUGCAUUUCAAAAUGUGGAGGUUAAUGCUAACGUUGUCGGUACAGAAACAGGAGAGCUUUUGAGCUCUCCGUUUGCCUCUUUAUGGCCCCCUGGAGGGUCAGCAUCGUCGAGCGGGCCUCAGCAGAUCCAUGUUUCAAAAGGUCCGAUUUAAAAGUGAAAGUACAACAAAAUGUUUAAAGAUUUUAAGCCUGUGACGUGUCUUACAUGUACAUUAUGAACAAUUUGAGAGAUUUGUCCCCUUUCAAAUGAACAAAGAAUUGAAUAUAAAUUAUUUAGGCUGCAGCGGCCCACGACAAACGAAUAUUUUUGUUUCUUACGUUUGCAAAAUGUUUUGUGUACGUACUAUGCUACAGCAACGUGUUGCUUUUGGGUUUGUUUGGUUUUUUUGACGCUAUGGCAAAAAAGAUAGAGCUAGAUUUUGGGGCAUUUUUGAACCCCCCCCACCCACCCCUUAAUUUAUUUGAAGCAUUAUUAAAAAAAUGGAUGUAUGUCGUUCAUGUCUGAUAGCCUUCAUGUUGAAUUUUAACACCCCCUCCCCCUUUAAUUCUUUGUCAUGACUGAAUUCAUUCACAGAGUCUCUGUUUAUCUUGGCAACAAUUCAACCUCAAAACUGUCCUCAUUGCAACCUUAAAGAUCAGCUGUUAUGAAUUUUUCUUGUUCGGGGUUGAGAAGUGAGAAAGAAAUGAGACCUACGUAAUAUAUUUACAUAUAUGUAUAUGUAUACAUAAAUAUAUAUAAUCCUUGCAGAGAAGACUUAGGGUACUGCAUCAUUAUGCAAACUUUUGUUUCCUUUUUCCUCUUAAUCUUUUGGUUUAUUUUGUAUUCUAGUUUACAGAGGGAAAAUAAUCAUCUUAUUUUUGGUUGUUUUGUUGUAUCGGGGCAACAUUGUUUCUCUGAAAACAAAGCGAUACAAGGGUAGUAUUUGUUUUUUAAGAGUACAUAGGCAUUUUGCAGUUAUUUGUAUAAAGAAAUGGGUUACAGCCUCUGCAUAAUGUUUAUUUUUUGUAACUAUCUUGCAGUUUUAUUUGCUGCUGUGUAGUACAGUUAACAGUUGGAAAAGCUGUCGGUGGCAACCAUAGCGACGAAGAUGAUGAUGAUCAUUGCCCAGACAUGGGUUUCUUUAUUUUUUUUUUGUCCUCCCCCAAAUCUUUUCAAAACUUUGGAGGAUUUUGGCGGAGGUGGGCGGGGAAAGCAGAUCCCUCCCCACCCUGCCACCUGUGUUCUUAGUUUCUGAGUUGAAUGCUGUUGUUUAUUAGCUUUACAGGAAAGAGUUAAAAAAAAUACUGUGGAGGUGUGUAUCCUUCGUAUGUGCAUUAUUUUUCAGCGACGUACGUCCUAUAUAGAAAAAAGAAGAAAAACGUUUAAAAAAAGAGAGAGAGAGAGAGAGAAACCGUGGUGGGAAAAGAAAUCCUCCUCCUGUAAAUACGAAAAACUCAAGUUGUCGCUUUUUUCAUGUUAUGAUCAGCGCCUCCCCUCAUCCCUUAUUUUGUUUUUGUUUUAUUUCCUUCUCUCUUUCGUUCUCUUUUUUUUCCUCGUGGAGGGAGAGGGAGGUAGGAGGGGUACGCAGAGGCGAUUUGAGCAUCGGCAUAGUGUUUAUAUUUAUCAGAACUUUUUUGCUUUCGAUAGAGCUAUUGCAAUAAAAAUGUGUUCAUGUAA